Molecule: ribosomal RNA, 215 nt
Filed under: Campeiostachys nutans
Lineage: Eukaryota; Viridiplantae; Streptophyta; Magnoliopsida; Poales; Poaceae
Description: Elymus nutans partial small subunit ribosomal RNA
Rfam family: Eukaryotic small subunit ribosomal RNA (bases 42-215)
Source: RNAcentral
GGAUCAGUUGGUCGGUCGUGCCUCGGUACGUACUGGUCAAAUUGAUUCCUACCUUCUGACGAACCACGAUGUCAUUAAUUUGGUGUCAUGGGGAAUCAGGACUGUUACUUUGAAAAAAUUAGAGUGUUUAAAGCAGGCUCACGCUUGAAUACAUUAGCAUGGAAUAACGAAAUAGGACGUUCGAUCCUAUUUUGUUGGUUUCUAGGAUUGACGUA